This 410-nucleotide ribosomal RNA is filed under the name uncultured bacterium. RNAcentral's name for it is "bacterial SSU rRNA". It matches the Rfam family "Bacterial small subunit ribosomal RNA", at positions 87 to 507 of the family's 1533-position model. The record is from RNAcentral.
UGAUGUUAGCGGNGGACGGUGAGUAACACGGUGGUAACCUGCCUGUAAGACUGGGAUUAACCUCCGGGAAACCGGGGCUAAUACCGGAUGAUUCUUCUUACACAAGUAAGAAUGCUAAAAGGAGCUUCGGCUUCACUUUAAGAUGAGCUUAUGGCGUAUUAACUAGUUGGUAGGGUAAUGGCCUACCAAGGUGACGAUGCGUAGCCGAACUGAGAGGUUGAUCGGCCACAUUGGAACUGAGAUACGGGUCCAAACUCCUACGGGAGGCAGCAGUGGGGAAUAUUGGGCAAUGGGCGCAAGCCUGACCCAGCAACGCCGCGUGAGGGAAGAAGGUUUUCGGAUUGUAAACCUCUGUCCUAUGUGAAGAGAAGAAGACGGUAGCAUAGGAGGAAGCCCCGGCUAACUACGUG